This 235-nucleotide ribosomal RNA is filed under the name uncultured bacterium. Its description in RNAcentral is "partial 16S ribosomal RNA". It matches the Rfam family "Bacterial small subunit ribosomal RNA", at positions 118 to 351 of the family's 1533-position model. The record is from RNAcentral.
UGAGUAACCUGCCCUUAACUCUGGGAUAAGCCUGGGAAACUGGGUCUAAUACCGGAUAUGACUCCUCAUCGCAUGGUGGGGGGUGGAAAGCUUUUUGUGGUUUUGGAUGGACUCGCGGCCUAUCAGCUUGUUGGUGAGGUAAUGGCUCACCAAGGCGACGACGGGUAGCCGGCCUGAGAGGGUGACCGGCCACACUGGGACUGAGACACGGCCCAGACCUCCGUACGGGAGGCAG